AUUGAACGCUGGCGGCAGGCCUAACACAUGCAAGUCGAGCGGAUGAAGGGAGCUUGCUCCUGGAUUCAGCGGCGGACGGGUGAGUAAUGCCUAGGAAUCUGCCUGGUAGUGGGGGAUAACGUCCGGAAACGGGCGCUAAUACCGCAUACGUCCUGAGGGAGAAAGUGGGGGAUCUUCGGACCUCACGCUAUCAGAUGAGCCUAGGUCGGAUUAGCUAGUUGGUGGGGUAAAGGCCUACCAAGGCGACGAUCCGUAACUGGUCUGAGAGGAUGAUCAGUCACACUGGAACUGAGACACCGUCCAGACUCCUACGGGAGGCAGCAGUGGGGAAUAUUGGACAAUGGGCGAAAGCCUGAUCCAGCCAUGCCGCGUGUGUGAAGAAGGUCUUCGGAUUGUAAAGCACUUUAAGUUGGGAGGAAGGGCAGUAAGUUAAUACCUUGCUGUUUUGACGUUACCAACAGAAUAAGCACCGGCUAACUUCGUG
RNAcentral lists this ribosomal RNA (484 nucleotides) under uncultured bacterium. Its description in RNAcentral is "partial 16S ribosomal RNA". It matches the Rfam family "Bacterial small subunit ribosomal RNA", at positions 30 to 507 of the family's 1533-position model. The record is from RNAcentral.